CCUACGGGUGGCAGCAGUGGGGAAUAUUGCACAAUGGGGGAAACCCUGAUGCAGCGACGCCGCGUGAGCGAAGAAGUAUUUCGGUAUGUAAAGCUCUAUCAGCAGGGAAGAAAAUGACGGUACCUGAGUAAGAAGCUCCGGCUAAAUACGUGCCAGCAGCCGCGGUAAUACGUAGGUGGCAAGCGUUGUCCGGAUUUACUGGGUGUAAAGGGCGUGUAGCCGGGCUGACAAGUCAGAUGUGAAAUCCCGUGGCUCAACCACGGAACUGCAUUUGAAACUGUCGGUCUUGAGUAUCGGAGAGGCAGGCGGAAUUCCUAGUGUAGCGGUGAAAUGCGUAGAUAUUAGGAAGAACACCGGAGGCGAAGGCGGUUUACUGGACUGCAACUGACACUGAGGCUCGAAAGCGUGGGGAGCAAACAGGAUUAGAUACCCCUGUAGUC
This 440-nucleotide ribosomal RNA is filed under the name uncultured bacterium. RNAcentral describes it as "partial 16S ribosomal RNA". It matches the Rfam family "Bacterial small subunit ribosomal RNA", at positions 338 to 795 of the family's 1533-position model. The record is from RNAcentral.